RNAcentral lists this ribosomal RNA (496 nucleotides) under uncultured bacterium. Its description in RNAcentral is "partial 16S ribosomal RNA". It matches the Rfam family "Bacterial small subunit ribosomal RNA", at positions 28 to 507 of the family's 1533-position model. The record is from RNAcentral.
GACGAACGCUGGCGGCGUGCCUAAUACAUGCAAGUUGAGCGAUGAAGCUUGGUGCUUGCACCAAUUUGAAGAGCAGCGAACGGGUGAGUAACGCGUGGGGAAUCUUCCUUUGAGCGGGGGACAACAUUUGGAAACGAAUGCUAAUACCGCAUAACACCUUUAAACAUAAGUUUUAAGUUUGAAAGAUGCAAUUGCAUCACUCAAAGAUGAUCCGAGGUUUGAUUAGCUAGUUGGGGGGGUAAAGGCCCACCAAGGCGGUGAUACAUAGCCGGUCGGAGGGGAGGGGGAGCCACACUGGAAGGGAAACGCGGUCCAGACUCCUAGGGGAGGCAGCGGGGGGGAAUAUUGGAAAAGGGGGGCAGGCCUGAUGCAGCCAGACCGGGUGGGAGAGGAGGGCUUGGGGGUUGAAAAGCCGUUUGGUAGGGAAAGAAGAGGAGCAGGUUGAAACCCCGCUGUUCUGACGGUACCCAAAGAAAAAGAACCGGCUAACUUCGUG